AGGCACAUUACAAAUUACAAUAUGGCUGGCGUAGUUGUAUAUAUAUGGUAUAUAUGAUUAUAAUAAUGAUGAUGGAUGGUCAUGAUGAUGAUGGAUUGGUGUUUCAUACAGAGCUAGUUUCGGAGAGGCCAAAUUCAAGUCCCCAAAGCUCGAAAGCACCCUUAACGAAGUCAUAGUAGCCUCCCUUCAAAGCAAGUGUUCCCUUCACAAGUCCUUCCCUCACAAACGGAUAUGUCAACAGGUUUGCUAGUGAAACAUUCACUGCCUCCUGCAUUUAUUUAUCACAAAUUUAUGUUAUAUAAUCUCAUCUCAUCUCAUUUAUAUAUGUAUGUUGGAUUAUAGAUUGAAUUUAUAUAGAAUGAACACGUGUAUGUACCCUUUCACAUCGGCCACACUGGUCUUCGAAGCAUGAAUCUCCAAGUUCUGAUAUAACCUUUGACUUGGCUGGCAAACAGAUUUUGACCCAGUCCUCUAUGAAGUCACUGCAAUUAACAUAACGUUUAAUCAAAAAUUUCUACAAAUUUGGUGUCAAAAUAUAGAUAAAUGGGGUAAAAAUAUAUUAUACGUGGAGUUGUUUCCAUCUAAUGGGAAAGACAUAAGCCCCUUGAUUCCACCACAUGCACUGUGUCCUAUCACCACAAUGUUCUCCACCUACAUUAAUAAAUUCCAAAAAAAAAGAAAUAAUAGUUAUUAUGAUUUUAUAUUUUCAAAAUUAUUUUCGGUUGAAGUACGGGAAUUUUGUUUUUCUUUUUAAAUCAUCAAAAUCAGGUUGUUGUUGUUGUUAAUUAAUGUGUGAUUGCCUUGUAUUGUAUCAGUAUGUAUCUCUUCUCUGUUUUGGUUUUGGUAUUUAGGUCCACCUUAGCAUGAAGACCCGAUUCGGCCCAUAGUCCAGCCUUUAUGGACCGGCCCAUUUAAAAUAAUUAUUAAGAAUUAGGAGUUCACCUUAAGGUGCAAGACCGCGUAUUCAAUGGCUGCUCCAACUCCACUGUAUUUGACCUGCAAAUAUAAAACGUCAAUGCUACGACUCCUCAAGCGAAAGGUCAAGUACUUGGGUCUUAGACAGAAGGUUUAUAUGUAUAAACAAAAGCAAGUGUUGACUAACCUUGUCAAACGGAG
Molecule: long non-coding RNA, 1116 nt
Filed under: Capsella grandiflora
Lineage: Eukaryota; Viridiplantae; Streptophyta; Magnoliopsida; Brassicales; Brassicaceae
Description: long non-coding RNA (CGRA_LNC000382)
Source: RNAcentral